Gasterosteus aculeatus aculeatus (three-spined stickleback) is the source of this 905-nucleotide long non-coding RNA. NCBI's taxonomy places the organism in Eukaryota, Metazoa, Chordata, Actinopteri, Perciformes, Gasterosteidae. The record is from Ensembl.
CCAAACCCCCCCUGACAACACCCCCCUUCUUACUAGGAACAGAAGCAGGAUGAACCAGAAACUCCUAAACGGGCCUUUUUACUGCUUUCUCCCUGUCACCAUAGUAGACUGGCUUCUCUGGUUUCCCUUUGACAUGUGGUUGUAUGGAGUGCUAAUUUCUUGUUUCUUUUUUUUGCUAAGCCUGCGGCUUUUCCUGGUUUUUUCCUUUGAAUAUCUGUGUCUCAGUGGAGUGUGUCUCUGUGUGUGGUUUGUUGUCACUGAGGUGUCGUGUCCCCUGCCCUUUGGUCAUAGCAUCCAAAGUGAGGGGAGAAAGAUGGGCCUGGAGGUAACUGGUGUUCUUAGUGCCUCCAUCAGUUGCAAAUGAUCUCAGCAGCAGACGUCAGGUGUGGUGAUCACGGGCCAUGAAUCCUUCCUCUCCUGGCCUCAAAUGUUGUUUCAGCUUUGCAGUAGACAAAGGCAGCAGCCGGGCUCCAUUCUGCUGUGAAGCUCUUUAUUGGCCCCCAGACGGCUCCGCUCUAUGAGAGAAGCUCUUGGACUGUGUGGUGGAGCUGCUGCAUUCUGCACUCGUGGCUCAGCUCUGCUUUUCCCUUAAUGUGCCUUUAAAAUGACUGCUUGUGGAGCCCCUUUGCUUCAAAAUCAAAUUUAUAUAUAGGCCUUUUAUAUUUUUGGAUACUUUUAUUCAUUCAUUUACAUUUAUCACAUAAUAAUGUGAUGUUUUUUUUUUUUCUUUAUUUCAUGUUAAUAGAAUCUAUUUUAUCCAAUGAAACCAUACCUUAAAAGACGUCACUCUGGUGGCCACUUUUUUUAAUUAAUUAAAAAUAAAGUUGUUAGAAAUAACAGACAUUACUUUCAAUUCUGCCAUAGAGGUCAGCAGUAUGACAAGAUACUAUAGGAGGUAAUGAUAU